ACUGCAAAGAAAGUAAAAAAAAUAAUUUUUACAAUAUUAAUAAUUGCAGUAAAAUAAAUUAGGAAAAAAAAAAAAAAGACAAGAUCUAUUUAUCUAUUCCAGAGAACAACGAGGUAUGAGCCUCCUUUUUUUUUUUUUUUUUUUUUUCCUGCUGUAUUUCCAAGGUCAAACAAAGCCCUUGGCUGCACAAGGUAACAACUAUGAGCACACACCUAGAAGGCAGCUCUAUGGCAACACAGCACCUGUGGGCAGGAAUUCUUGUCACAAUCAUCUCAGUCACUGAAACUGCUGGAGUCCAAGAUUUGCAGCAAGCAAAGUGGAGUGGCUGGUGUGCCAGGCUCAGCCUCUGUUCAGCGCCACUUGACUCACAAAGAAUGAAGGCCUGGGAGGAAAACUCCAGGUUUGGCACAGAGCCCCCAGAGCUUAUGUGUGCUCACAACACAAUGCAGAUGCCACAGCUGUACAUCUACUGCCAUCAACAGCACAGGCAGAAGGUUUCUCACAACCGAUAUUUCCUAAUUUACUAAGAGGAGAACCAGAAAGCAAGGACCUCUUACCCUGCCACUACACAUCACGACAGACCAGCUGGUGUGUCUGGGACAGGGGUGGCCCCCAGCCCACCUCCCAGGUCGCUCCACCAAGGCAAAGGAAUUCCCUGCCAGUUACUGCAGGACUGAUGAUGGUUAUUUUACCUAAUGUGGCUACAUUUUCCUGAAGCUAACUGGGGAGUUUUCAUUGCUCCACUAACGGAGACCUGGAAUACAUAUAUGUAUGUAUCUUGGUAGGACAGAAAGGGACCAAAAAUAGCUGCAGGUCAAUAAUCUUUUAUGCUGGCACAGCUGGAUGUGGGAGCUGAAGCUCCAUGACUUAAAUUUAAAGCACAGAAUUGCACAGUAAAAAAGCUGUUCCUACCUAUCAGAGGCUUCAAUCGUUUCCUUUCCUCUUAAUUAGCCUUAUAUGUUGUAGCAGGAGGAGGAGCCGUGGAGGCAGAUGUGGAGAACUGCAAAAACAGCAACAGUUCAGAGAAGCCACGGUUUGCACCAGUUGAUGUAGCUUUUAGGUCUUUGAGAUCUAUGUGGCAGGUCUGUUGGAAAGAGCAUUAGUGCUAACACAGGUCAAAUUAUGCUCUUACCCAUAACUGCUACAGAGCUACAACAACCUCAUCCAUAGCCCCAGGAGCAGAUCCCAGGCUGGGGCAUUGCCAGGAGUCACUUUUGCAGUGCAGCUUGACCUGGGAAUGAGCCCUCCAGGCAGCAAUGGCAUUUUCUAACCUGAUACUCGAGCUCCUCCAUGUGGCAAACAGCAGGCUUAAUCUUUUCUGUAUGUAACAAAG
This 1333-nucleotide long non-coding RNA is filed under the name Anas platyrhynchos platyrhynchos (common mallard). Its description in RNAcentral is "lncRNA (ENSAPLG00000029609.1)". Lineage: Eukaryota; Metazoa; Chordata; Aves; Anseriformes; Anatidae. The record is from RNAcentral.